Long non-coding RNA from Carlito syrichta (Philippine tarsier), 1876 nucleotides. RefSeq lists it as uncharacterized. The record is from RefSeq and is a predicted model, not a curated record. NCBI's taxonomy places the organism in Eukaryota, Metazoa, Chordata, Mammalia, Primates, Tarsiidae. The transcript has 2 exons.
AGGUUACCCUGAAGAGACUUAUCCAAUUUAUGACCUUUCAGACUGUGCCAAGCAUAGGCAAGAAACAAUCCUGGUGGAUUACCCUGACUCAAAAGAGCCUUCUGCUGAAGAAAUAGCUGAAAGAAUGGGAGUGAUAGAAGAGGAAGAAUCAGACCAUUUGGGUUGGGAAAGUCUGCCCACUGAUCCCAGAACCCAGGAAGACAAUUCUGCUACCUUAUGUGAUCCAAAGCCAGAAACAUGUUCCUGCUGUUUUCAUGAAGAAGACGAUCCUGCUGUCUUGGCAGAGAAUACUGGAUUCCAUGCAGACAGCUACUGCGAGCAAGAGGAAACCACCAAAGAAGAGUGGCCCCGAGACUUGAGAGCUGAAGGGUCGGGUAUUAGUGCUGAUAAAGCGUAUACAGGCAGCAUUUUGAGGAAGCGUAACCCCCAGGGUUUAGAGUGAAAACAGCCAGUUUGGUGAAGUAUCCGUUACUCUAGUCCCAAGAUGGGACCACUCGGGGCAAAGGUCUGACUCUUCCUGGUAGGCAUAACAGUUCACCUGUGAAUGAACAUCAGCUUACAGAUGAUGAGGACUAAGUUUGCAAGAAUGAAGAUUUCAGACUUCAAGAUGCCUUCUUCUUUGGACCUGUGCAGGUUAGUGGUCCUCUGGAGAGAAGAGAACAUUUUGUGGGGAUGAUCGUCUCAGAGCAGGGUAAGACUGCUGAGCUGCCUGAGCUGAAUCCUCUUUCUAGGAGCACUGAUGCUGUCUCUUACACAUCCUCUUUUCUCCAGAGUAGUGAAGACUCCCACUGACCUGAGGAUGAGCCUACAGGCCUGUUUGGGGACUGUUUUGCUCUGAUAUUGCCUUGGUCUCUAGCUUCCUGUAUCCCUGUUCUGCUUACUGCCAAACCCAGAAGUACCUUUGCACCUCUGGUCUUCAGUGGCCAGUGGAAGCUCUAGAUGAAGACUUUAGUCCCUGCCCUGCAGAGCCAAGAUUUGAGACUGUUGAGGCUGCAGAAUGGCUGCCUGGGGGUGGUCCUGCCAUGAGGAGCUGAGAAGGCCAGGGAGCUAGCAGUAGGGGAGAGGACCUGUGUAUUGAUGGCAGUCUUUGCCUGAAGCUGUUUCUGAAUAUUGCGCCCUCUAGGAAAUUUGUUCUCAGACCACAUGAGUUAAAACAGAAAUGAGGAUUUAGCUUGUAUACAAAGUGCCAGCUCAACAGGAAAGUUACAGAGUGUGUCUUUUGCACAAACCAAUAUAGCAGUGCCCAUGGGAAGAAACCAUAUGUUCUACAUUCGGAUAUUUGGGACUUUGGACAGGGCUGGAGAAAGUAGCCACUAGAUUAGGACUUGGAGGAUUUUAACCAAAUUAAAGGCUUAUUCUCCUAAGUUACCAUCUGUCAUGUGUCUUCGUGAGACAAGAAGGUACACUUGAAUUCUAAGAUGAAGGAUAUGUGAAUUAAGUUUACAUGUAAGACCUGAGAGUUUGAAGAGGGCAUAUUCCUGAGGACAUUCCCAGUCAUGAAAUAUGGAAGACUGGAAAAUUAAGAAAUUAUGUAAAGGUAGAUAUGGCUUUUAGAGUUCCAUUAUGCAUGGCAUGCAUAAAGUGCCAGGAAAAUAGUUGAAAUCACACAUACAAGCAUGCAGACUGCUGUCACAAGGUAUGGGACCAUAUGAUAAUUUGUCAGCUACUACUAGGCAUUUCUUCUUGUUAGGUAAUUGACAACAGAGACAAGUCAUUUAAGAUUGAGUCUGUAGAAAGUAUAUUGCAUCUAUCUCUGUGUAGGACAUUUGAUUGACAUUGUAAAAAAGGCAGUUUAAAAUGUAUUGAAUCCAAUUCAGAUGUAUUAUACUCUAAAGGUAAAAAAAAUAAUAUAGGUGCUGUCUACUGUUUUGAUAAA